GUCUUUUUGAGUUAUUUUAAAAGUCUGACCUGCCCACUGAAUUUUUUUAAAUGGCCGCAGUAUUCUAACUGUGCAAAGGUAGCAUAAUCAUUAGUCUUUUAAUUGAAGGCUGGUAUGAACGGUUGGACGAAGUAUAAGCUGUUUCAUGUAAAUUUACAGUAGAAUUUUAUAUUUUAGUCAAAAAGCUAAAAUGUAAUUAAAAGACGAGAAGACCCUAUAAAUCUUUAUAUUUUAUUUAAUUUAAAUUUUUUUGAUUUUUUUUAUUUUUAUUAUAUAAAAUAUUUUGUUGGGGUGAUAUUAAAAUUUGAUGAACUUUUAAUUGUUUUAAAUCAUUAAUUUAUGAAUUAUUGAUCCAUUAGUAGUGAUUAUAAGAUUAAGUUACUUUAGGGAUAACAGCGUAAUUUUUUUGGAGAGUUCUUAUCGAUAAAAAAGUUUGCGACCUCGAUGUUGGAUUAAGAUAUAGAUUUAGGUGUAGCCGCUUAAAUACUGAGUCUGUUCGACUUUUAAAUUCUU
Molecule: ribosomal RNA, 513 nt
Filed under: Dacus famona
Lineage: Eukaryota; Metazoa; Arthropoda; Insecta; Diptera; Tephritidae
Description: partial 16S ribosomal RNA
Rfam family: Bacterial large subunit ribosomal RNA (bases 389-513)
Source: RNAcentral